CGAUGAGAAUCGAUUCGAGAUAGGUAACGAGGGAACGUCUUUAAAGGCCUUCGAGGGGGCGGCAGUUCAAUUAAGAGACGGCUUCCUGCGAAGAGUUUUCAAGGGCGCGCACGGCGAUCAAAGAAAAGCAGGCCGCGUAAAAUUCCUCGAGAAAACUUUUCAACGGCGAACUCUUUCCUCAUUUCGCGCGCACUUGAAUUAUUCACAAGCUUCUUCUUCCCGCCUUUGUUUCUGGGCCAGGGUCGUCGUCGUCGUCGUCGUCGUCGCAACGAUCCCCGGUCGACGAACUUUCUCUCUUAAGAAACCUUGUAUCAAUUAUAAGUAUGUUAAACGAUUUCAAGAUUGCAUUCAGAGACACUGAAUGAUAUCAGAUCAUAUAAGAUACAUACUAUAUGGAUUAUUAAUUUAUAUAAAAAUUGACGUACCUCGGUAUGCAUUAUCUUUUUCUAGACGAUGGUAGAAGCUAAUAAAUUCAACUUAUCUAUACAAUCUCACACUUGAGUAGAAUAAUUUCACAGUACAAGUGAUUUUUUUUAUAAAGUAAUUCUUUUAUAAAUCAUGUAGCUUCAUAUAACU
This 576-nucleotide unclassified non-coding RNA is filed under the name Bombus terrestris (buff-tailed bumblebee). RNAcentral's name for it is "misc RNA ENSBTSG00005024194.1". The record is from RNAcentral. Lineage: Eukaryota; Metazoa; Arthropoda; Insecta; Hymenoptera; Apidae.